RNAcentral lists this ribosomal RNA (394 nucleotides) under uncultured bacterium. RNAcentral describes it as "bacterial SSU rRNA". It matches the Rfam family "Bacterial small subunit ribosomal RNA", at positions 29 to 417 of the family's 1533-position model. The record is from RNAcentral.
AUUGAACGCUGGCGGCAUGCCUUACACAUGCAAGUCGAGCGCGAAAGGGGGCAACCCCGAGUAGAGCGGCGGACGGGUGAGUAACACAUCGGAACGUGCCCAGUAGUGGGGGACAACCUCGAGAAAUCGAGGCUAAUACCGCAUACGACCCACGGGUGAAAGCGGGGGACCCAAAGGAAACUGAGGGCCUCGCGCUAUUGGAGCGGCCGAUGUCCGAUUAGCUAGUUGGCGGGGUAAGAGCCCACCAAGGCGACGAUCGGUAGCUGGUCUGAGAGGACGACCAGCCACACUGGGACUGAGACACGGCCCAGACUCCUACGGGAGGCAGCAGUGGGGAAUUUUGGACAAUGGGGGCAACCCUGAUCCAGCCAUGCCGCGUGCGGGAAGAAGGCCU